AGGGAGGCUCAGAGGAAGAUCGAUCUCUCAGCUUGGGUGAGCAGUAAUCCUAAAGAGAGGCUGAGAGCUGCUCUGCUCUCCCGGUCUUCAUUCAGUUCCUGGCAGCUGCAGGAAUAACAGUGUUUUUUGAUAGCUGUUAGGUCUUAGUGGUGGAGUUUCGCAUCCUGGUGUUGCUGACCAGGCUGACCCAUGGAGCAGAUCCCCGCUCGGAGUCAUUUGUUUUCAUUCAAAGAAAUGAAUGCUAUGUGAAGCCUGAAGAGUAAUAACACAGCAAAAUGACAACGGAAGAGCGAGACGGAAAUCUGAAAGAUACAAUGGCAGGUUGGUAACCUCUAAAGAUCACCGCUGUUGUGAGCAGUACUGUAUUAUUUAAUGUCCAGUCUGGCUUGCAGCUCCAUUUAAUAAAACAUAUGAAAAUCUCUGGGAAAUUUGGUCUUGCAUUUAAAGCCCGGCUGUUCUGCUGAAAAGGGAUAAUCUGGAUACGCUGAGAUUAUUUCCCACUAUCUGACAAGGAGGAAGAAAUUAAUACGUAUUCUUUCUGCUUCUUAAGACAAUGACACGAGUCAGUGUACCCCUGGGUUCAUGAAGGAGUGACAAAUGAGACUUUAUUUAUAGGCCUUUUAGUGAACUAGGCAGGAGGUUAUGGCUGGAAAACCCAAAUGACCUCCUCUGACCCAUGAAUAGCUGCAGAAAAAGAACUUGGGGACAAGAAGAGCCUGGGCUCACCCCAUUGUCAUCGUGUGAUGUUUCACCCAUCAAGUGUGGCGACAGCAAAGAUCAUGGGUGAAACCCUAACGGGGCUUGGCUCCAAAGGGCUCAGCAUCAUCUGGGAAGAGGCAAAAUCACAGAAUCACAGCACAGCUCGGGUUGGAAGGGACCUCAAGGAUCAUGAAGCUCCAAGCCCCCAUUCAAGUUGUCUUCACGCAGCCAAGCUCAGUACACCCACACAUGCACCCAUCUCUCAGCCCCACAACACCUCUUGAGUCUCCCAUUACCUCCCAGGCACCAACCUCCCCCCAAAAUCCUGAAAAACAAAUAAACGAAGGGAGGCUG
Molecule: long non-coding RNA, 1053 nt
Organism: Gallus gallus (chicken)
Lineage: Eukaryota; Metazoa; Chordata; Aves; Galliformes; Phasianidae
Source: Ensembl